Molecule: long non-coding RNA, 530 nt
Organism: Myotis daubentonii (Daubenton's bat)
Lineage: Eukaryota; Metazoa; Chordata; Mammalia; Chiroptera; Vespertilionidae
Source: RefSeq, a predicted model, not a curated record
CUUACCUGGCUGCGGAGGCAGAAGCAGAAGCGCAGGGGCAGGAGGCAGGAGAAGAAAUACUUGCCCCAUCCGAUCACGCAGGAGAAGCACCAGCUCAGUCGAGUCAUGUUGACGAGGGACACAGAAGUACAUCCUUGGGAGUUUGGUGCCUCAUGGGAAAAUCACAAGCCCCCUGAGCACCAGGGACAGAGAUACAAGGCUCCAUGGAAUGGACCAGAUUCGGAUACUCAGACACAGGGGACCAUGUAUUAGAUGUCAAAACGUGGAAGAAGAAGCCAGGAACAAAGCCAGCAGAGACCAGGGUCCGAAUCCUGGCCCUGACCCUUUCCAACUGAGUGACCUUGAAGAAAUUAUUUUCCCUGUUCCCUGAAGACAUUAUUUCUGAGCCUGUUUCCUCUUCUGUGAAAUAGAGACAAGGAUCCUAACCUUGUGGGGUAGUUGCGCAGAUUAAAUUAAAUGUGAAAACGCCUGGCACCAGACCUGACUCAUCAAGGCACCCUCAGGAGCUGCUGGGCAAAUACCUCCGAACC